UGAGCCAAGAUUGCGCCACUGCAUUC
RNAcentral lists this non-coding RNA (26 nucleotides) under Homo sapiens (human). Lineage: Eukaryota; Metazoa; Chordata; Mammalia; Primates; Hominidae. The record is from RNAcentral.